UGGGGAAUAUUGCACAAUGGGGGAAACCCGUACGAUGCAGCGACGCCGCGUGAGCGAAGAAGUAUUUCGGUAUGUAAAGACUCUAUCAGCAGGGAAGGAAGAAUGACGGUACCUGACUAAGAAGCACCGGCUAAAUAACGUGCCAGCAGCCGCGGUAAUACGUAUGGUGCAAGCGUUAUCCGGAUUUACUGGGUGUAAAGGGCGUGUAGCCGGGCCUUUAAGUCAGAUGUGAAAUCCGCGGGCUUAACCCGCGAACUGCAUUUGAAACUGAGGGUCUUGAGUAUCGGAGAGGUAAUCGGAAUUCCUAGUGUAGCGGUGAAAUGCGUAGAUAUUAGGAAGAACACCAGUGGCGAAGGCGGAUUACUGGACGAUUACUGACGCUGAGGCUCGAAAGCGUGGGGAGCAAACAGGAUUAGAUACCCUGGUAGU
Molecule: ribosomal RNA, 429 nt
Filed under: uncultured Roseburia sp.
Lineage: Bacteria; Bacillati; Bacillota; Clostridia; Lachnospirales; Lachnospiraceae
Description: bacterial SSU rRNA
Rfam family: Bacterial small subunit ribosomal RNA
Source: RNAcentral